CUGGUCUGUCUGUCCAUUUGUUUGUUCACCCACCUGUCUUUUCUGCUUCAGAAUAAAGUUUUUGGUCAAGGUAGUUUUCUAUGAAGUUGAAGUAAAAUCAACUUGCAACUUAGUACAUAUGUUCCAUUGGAAAUGAUCUUUCUAAUUUUAAUGCCGAAUUAGAAGUUUUAUCCCAAUUUCAUGAUCCAUAGAAAAUAAUAGUGCGAGUUGGGCAUCUGUGUACAUCUUGUUUAAGAAUUGAUUAAGUUAAUACACUGUUUGUUGUAAAGAUUUUUUUUUUAAUUAUAUUUUUUUUGUCUUUGUAAAGUCAGUGACGAAUGAAACUUGAAUCAAUUAGCAAUUAUAUUAUGUAUUUGACUGAGACAAUAAAAUGCAGCUUCACUGUUAUAUUUAUAGCAGAUUGUAAUUGUAAUAUAAGAAAAACAUUUUAUCCAAUCUUUUAAUUUUCUAAGGUUGUAAAGUAGUAUAGGGCCUAAUAUAAUUAGUUGCAUGGUGGUGUGCCCAUUUAAAUAAGUAAUGAAGCUGCCACACGCAUUUUACAUGUUUGAAGGUGUGCACAUUCACAAGUGAGUGAAGCUGUCACAUGCAUUUUACAUGUGUGAAGGCGUGCACAUUCACAAGUGAGUGAAGCUGUCACAUGCAUUUUACAUGUGUGAAGGCGUGCACAUUCACAAGUGAGUGAAGCUGCCACAUGCAUUGUACAUGUGUGAAAACGUGCACACUCACAAGUGAGUGAAGCUUUCGCAUACAUUUAACAUGUGUAUGCAUGCACAUUUACAAAAAUAAGUGAAGCUACCACAUGCAAAGUGUACAUAAUUAAGGAAUUAAUUUUCAUAAGAACUGUUUAUUUUACUUAAUGUUACAGUAGAAUCUUUAUACUGGAGAAAAUUGUUUGAUUUUAAAACA
This 906-nucleotide long non-coding RNA is filed under the name Mytilus galloprovincialis (Mediterranean mussel). Lineage: Eukaryota; Metazoa; Mollusca; Bivalvia; Mytilida; Mytilidae. The record is from RNAcentral.